CCCUUAGAUGUUCUGGGCCGCACGCGCGCUACACUGAUGCAUUCAACGAGCCUAUCCUUGACCGACAGGUCCGGGUAAUCUUUGAAUCUGCAUCGUGACGGGGAUAGAUUAUUGCAAUUAUUAAUCUUCAACGAGGAAUGCCUAGUAGGCGCAAGUCAUCAGCUUGCGUCGAUUACGUCCCUGCCCUUUGUACACACCGCCCGUCGCUCCUACCGAUUGGGUGUGCUGGUGAAAUGUUGGGAUCGGCCGUUUGUCGCGGUUUCCGCGUCAUGUGGCUGAGAAGUUCAUUAAACCCUCCCACCUAGAGGAAGGAGAAGUCGUAACA
This 325-nucleotide ribosomal RNA is filed under the name uncultured eukaryote. RNAcentral describes it as "partial 18S ribosomal RNA". It matches the Rfam family "Eukaryotic small subunit ribosomal RNA", at positions 1470 to 1796 of the family's 1831-position model. The record is from RNAcentral.